AAACUUUCAACAACGGAUCUCUUGGUUCUGGCAUCGAUGAAGAACGCAGCGAAAUGCGAUAAGUAAUGUGAAUUGCAGAAUUCAGUGAAUCAUCGAAUCUUUGAACGCACAUUGCGCCCCCUGGUAUUCCGGGGGGCAUGUCUGUCCGAGCGUCAUUA
RNAcentral lists this ribosomal RNA (158 nucleotides) under Pseudogymnoascus pannorum. Its description in RNAcentral is "5.8S ribosomal RNA". It matches the Rfam family "5.8S ribosomal RNA". From Rfam's summary of the family: 5.8S ribosomal RNA (5.8S rRNA) is a component of the large subunit of the eukaryotic ribosome. It is transcribed by RNA polymerase I as part of the 45S precursor that also contains 18S and 28S rRNA. Lineage: Eukaryota; Fungi; Ascomycota; Leotiomycetes; Thelebolales; Thelebolaceae. The record is from RNAcentral.